UAGGGAAUCUUCCGCAAUGGGCGAAAGCCUGACGGAGCAACGCCGCGUGAGUGAUGAAGGUCUUCGGAUCGUAAAACUCUGUUAUUAGGGAAGAACAAAUGUGUAAGUAACUAUGCACGUCUUGACGGUACCUAAUCAGAAAGCCACGGCUAACUACGUGCCAGCAGCCGCGGUAAUACGUAGGUGGCAAGCGUUAUCCGGAAUUAUUGGGCGUAAAGCGCGCGUAGGCGGUUUUUUAAGUCUGAUGUGAAAGCCCACGGCUCAACCGUGGAGGGUCAUUGGAAACUGGAAAACUGGAGUGCAGAAGAGGAAAGUGGAAUUCCAUGUGUAGCGGUGAAAUGCGCAGAGAUAUGGAGGGACACCAGUGGCGAAGGCGACUUUCUGGUCUGUAACUGACGCUGAUGUGCGAAAGCGUGGGGAUCAAACAGG
Molecule: ribosomal RNA, 429 nt
Filed under: Actinomycetes bacterium
Lineage: Bacteria; Bacillati; Actinomycetota; Actinomycetes
Description: Actinobacteria bacterium partial 16S ribosomal RNA
Rfam family: Bacterial small subunit ribosomal RNA
Source: RNAcentral